This 253-nucleotide ribosomal RNA is filed under the name uncultured bacterium. Its description in RNAcentral is "partial 16S ribosomal RNA". It matches the Rfam family "Bacterial small subunit ribosomal RNA", at positions 524 to 776 of the family's 1533-position model. The record is from RNAcentral.
UACGGAGGGGGCUAGCGUUGUUCGGAAUUACUGGGCGUAAAGCGCACGUAGGCGGCUUUGCAAGCUAGAGGUGAAAGCCCGGGGCUCAACUCCGGAAUUGCCUUUAAAACUGCAUCGCUAGAAUUGUGGAGAGGUAAGUGGAAUUCCGAGUGUAGAGGUGAAAUUCGUAGAUAUUCGGAAGAACACCAGUGGCGAAGGCGACUUACUGGACACAUAUUGACGCUGAGGUGCGAAAGCGUGGGGAGCAAACAGG